Molecule: transfer RNA, 57 nt
Filed under: Ovis aries (sheep)
Lineage: Eukaryota; Metazoa; Chordata; Mammalia; Artiodactyla; Bovidae
Rfam family: tRNA
About the family: Transfer RNA (tRNA) molecules are approximately 80 nucleotides in length. Their secondary structure includes four short double-helical elements and three loops (D, anti-codon, and T loops).
Source: Rfam by way of RNAcentral
UGGCUCAGAGGUUAAAGCGUCUGCCUGCAAUGUGGGAGACCCGGGUUCGAUUCCUGG